CCUACGGGAGGCAGCAGUGGGGAAUAUUGGACAAUGGGCGAAAGCCUGAUCCAGCAAUGCCGCGUGAGUGAUGAAGGCCUUAGGGUUGUAAAGCUCUUUUACCAGGGAUGAUAAUGACAGUACCUGGAGAAUAAGCUCCGGCUAACUCCGUGCCAGCAGCCGCGGUAAUACGGAGGGAGCUAGCGUUAUUCGGAAUUACUGGGCGUAAAGCGUACGUAGGCGGUUAUUCAAGUCAGAGGUGAAAGCCCGGGGCUCAACCCCGGAACUGCCUUUGAAACUAGAUAACUAGAGUCUUGGAGAGGUUAGUGGAAUUCCGAGUGUAGAGGUGAAAUUCGUAGAUAUUCGGAAGAACACCAGUGGCGAAGGCGACUAACUGGACAAGUACUGACGCUGAGGUACGAAAGCGUGGGGAGCAAACAGGAUUAGAUACCCUGGUAGUCCACGCCGUAAACGAUGAUAACUAGCUGUCCGGGCACUUGGUGCCUGGGUGGCGCAGCUACGACAUUAAGUUAUCCGUCCGUCGGGUAGGUACGGUCGCGAAGAAUUAAAACGUUAAAAGGUAAAGUUAGUACGGACGUGAGACGUGCCGAACGGACGACGACGAGGGGAAGGUAGG
Molecule: ribosomal RNA, 616 nt
Filed under: uncultured bacterium
Lineage: Bacteria
Description: bacterial SSU rRNA
Rfam family: Bacterial small subunit ribosomal RNA (bases 1-518)
Source: RNAcentral